CAGCAGAGGAAGAAGGCAAAGGAGGGGAGAGGAUGUAAUCCAUCCCCUCAAGGUUUCUUUGGAGGAUCUCUACAAUGGGACAUCUAAGAAGCUCUCGCUCUCCCGCAAUGUAAUCUGCACCAAGUGCAAAGGGUUAGUUUCAAAAUAUCUGCUUUGAUGAAUUAUUUAUGAUGCAACAAGUCUUUUGUUGGGUUUGCUUUUCUACUUUCCUGUACUUACGAACAGUAAUUUGGUGUGGUUAUUUGCAGGAAGGGGUCUAAGUCAGGUGCAUCAAUGAAAUGUUCUGGCUGCCAGGGAUCUGGAAUGAAAGUUUCAAUAAGACACCUUGGCCCCUCUAUGAUUCAACAAAUGCAGCAUCCUUGCAAUGAGUGCAAGGGUACUGGAGAAACAAUCAAUGACAAGGAUCGCUGCCCACAAUGUAAGGGUGAGAAGGUCAUUCAGGAGAAAAAAGUCUUGGAGGUUAUUGUUGAGAAGGGGAUGCAAAAUGGACAGAAGAUUACGUUCCCUGGAGAAGCUGAUGAAGCGGUAAGGCAACGGAUUUUGUUGUUAUUUUUUCUUUUUAAUGCUCUCUGAGUUAUAUUUUCGAGUACAUUGAGUACUGUUUCAAGGUGUAGUUGUCUUAGUUGCUGACUGUACAUUUUGUCAUUUUUUAAAUUUGUGCAGCCCGACACUGUCACAGGUGACAUUGUAUUUGUUCUACAACAGAAAGAGCACCCGAAAUUUAAGCGAAAGGGUGAUGACCUAUUUGUUGAGCACACCCUGUCACUGACAGAAGCUCUCUGUGGCUUUCAAUUUGUAAUAACUCAUUUGGAUGGCCGGCAACUCCUCAUCAAAUCCCAGCCUGGGGAAGUAGUCAAGCCGGGUAAGUACAACUGGAUGGAUGUUAGUCUGAAUUUGUCAGCCUUUGUUGUUCAAAACUGAGUUUGUUGAAUAAUUUCUAGUUUCUAUAAAUUGUUCAACUUCACCAUUGGCAAUAUUCUUUCAGAUUUGUGAGCUGAUAGGAUUUUCCAUUUUUCUUGAGUCUUGACAGUGAUGCCUUGGUAGUGAUGCCUUGUGCAUGAACUUUUAUUCCUAGUACCAGUGUGACUGUCUAAUUUUUGGGCAUCUUGUUGUUUUCUGUUCAAAGUUCAGUUAUUUUUUGCUAUUUGAGUAGUGAUAUCUUGUUUUUGUACAGUGUUCUUUAACAUAUUGUUGUUUCUUUUCACCCCAGGAAACACUUUUAAGCAAUAUGUGCAAGUGAUCGUGGAAAUAAUAUCUGUGAACAGGCCUUUAAUAGCCUUGUUAAUGCAACUAGCUAGUUUCUUUAGACAUGUUUUUGGAGGCUUCCUUAGAUAGCUUUAUUGAUGCAAUUUAGCUAGUUUCUUAAGACUCUUGUCGAAGGCAUCAUACAUGUUGAAUUAUGUGAUGAUAUGAUCUAUUCUAGAUUCAGAUGGAACUACUAUUAGAGAUUUAUUGGAUGUGAUGCAUUGCCCUUGGUUCCUUUAUGCUGAAUAAUUUCUUGUGUUUGUUUCAUGUUAUCAUCUUAUUCAUACAUGCUACUUGUUUCUCUGCAAACAGACCAAUUCAAGGCCAUAAAUGAUGAAGGAAUGCCUAUGUAUCAGAGGCCAUUUAUGAGGGGCAAACUGUACAUUCAUUUCACUGUUGACUUCCCUGAGUCACUGAGCCCAGACCAGUGCAAGAUGCUGGAGACCGUACUACCUCCAAGGACCUCAGUCCAGCUCACCGAUAUGGAACUGGAUGAGUGUGAAGAAACAACCCUGCAUGAUGUGAACAUUGAGGAGGAAAUGCGAAGGAAGCAACAAGCAGCUCAGGAGGCAUACGAUGAAGAUGACGAUAUGCAAGGUGGUGCCCAGAGAGUGCAGUGUGCUCAGCAGUGAU
Molecule: long non-coding RNA, 1878 nt
Filed under: Citrus sinensis (sweet orange)
Lineage: Eukaryota; Viridiplantae; Streptophyta; Magnoliopsida; Sapindales; Rutaceae
Description: long non-coding RNA (CSIN_LNC003154)
Source: RNAcentral